AACCAGCCGUUGUUUAUGCAAUGGUUGUGGGGUAACUGGGGUAAACAUUAUUUAUGAUGUUAUUAGAUUAUUAAUACUGAUGAAUCAAUGCACGAGUAAUCAUCAGUAGAGCUAGUUAUAACUACAUUAUAUGGUGAAGUUCAGCGGUUUAGUCCAGUGGUUCCCAAUCUAGAGGUCAGGCCUGUCUAAAGAAUCACAAAUUAAGUCUUGGUUAUCUCUUAGAGAUAAUUAAUAACUCUCCUACACCAAUUCAUAUUCUUUUCUAAUCUUUUUUUUCCUGUAAAAUAUUAGAUAAUAAUUCCUCUUUGGGCCUCAAGUCAUUAUUUAAAUGAAGCUUUGGAAACAGGGGAAAGAAACACAAGUGCCAGUUUGAUGGAGUGUUUUAUUAAGCACUUUCUGUAAGGCUGAAAUACAUACUGCUGCUGUCUGCUGCUGCUGUCCGCUGUCUGCUGCUGUCUGCUGCUGCUG
Long non-coding RNA from Larimichthys crocea (large yellow croaker), 468 nucleotides. RefSeq lists it as uncharacterized. The transcript is spliced from 3 exons. The record is from RefSeq and is a predicted model, not a curated record. NCBI's taxonomy places the organism in Eukaryota, Metazoa, Chordata, Actinopteri, Sciaenidae.